UCGAGAAUUUUUGACAAUGGGGGAAACCCUGAUCGAGCGACGCCGCGUGGAGGAUGAAGGUCUUCGGAUUGUAAACUCCUGUCAUUGGGGAACAAGUCGCUUACGUUAACUGCGUGAGCGUUGAUAGUACCCGAAGAGGAAGAGACGGCUAACUCUGUGCCAGCAGCCGCGGUAAUACAGAGGUCUCAAGCGUUGUUCGGAUUCAUUGGGCGUAAAGGGUGCGUAGGCGGCGCGGUAAGUCGGGUGUGAAAUCUCGGAGCUUAACUCCGAAACUGCAUUCGAUACUGCCGUGCUUGAGGACUGGAGAGGAGACUGGAAUUUACGGUGUAGCGGUGAAAUGCGUAGAUAUCGUAAGGAAGACCAGUGGCGAAGGCGGGUCUCUGGACAGUUCCUGACGCUGAGGCACGAAGGUCAGGGGAGCAAACGG
RNAcentral lists this ribosomal RNA (427 nucleotides) under uncultured bacterium. RNAcentral describes it as "bacterial SSU rRNA". It matches the Rfam family "Bacterial small subunit ribosomal RNA", at positions 355 to 775 of the family's 1533-position model. The record is from RNAcentral.